GGACGAACGCUGGCGGCGUGCCUAAUACAUGCAAGUCGAGCGGAUUGAYGGGAGCUUGCUCCCUGAUAUCAGCGGCGGACGGGUGAGUAACACGUGGGCAACCUGCCCUGCAGAUGGGGAUAACUCCGGGAAACCGGGGCUAAUACCGAAUAAYCGGUUCUUCCGCAUGGAAGAACUCUGAAAGACGGUUUCGGCUGUCACUGCAGGAUGGGCCCGCGGCGCAUUAGCUAGUUGGUGGGGUAAUGGCCUACCAAGGCGACGAUGCGUAGCCGACCUGAGAGGGUGAUCGGCCACACUGGGACUGAGACACGGCCCAGACUCCUACGGGAGGCAGCAGUAGGGAAUCUUCCACAAUGGACGAAAGUCUGAUGGAGCAACGCCGCGUGAGCGAAGAAGGUUUUCGGAUCGUAAAGCUCUGUUGCGAGGGAAGAACAAGUACGGGAGUAACUGCCCGUACCAUGACGGUACCUCGUCAGAAAGCCACGGCUAA
Molecule: ribosomal RNA, 490 nt
Filed under: Sporosarcina sp. 'ARUP UnID 607'
Lineage: Bacteria; Bacillati; Bacillota; Bacilli; Caryophanales; Caryophanaceae
Description: bacterial SSU rRNA
Rfam family: Bacterial small subunit ribosomal RNA
Source: RNAcentral